This 515-nucleotide ribosomal RNA is filed under the name uncultured bacterium. Its description in RNAcentral is "bacterial SSU rRNA". It matches the Rfam family "Bacterial small subunit ribosomal RNA", at positions 994 to 1509 of the family's 1533-position model. The record is from RNAcentral.
ACAAUCCUAGAGAUAGGACGUUCCCUCGGGGACAGGAUGACAGGUGGUGCAUGGUUGUCGUCAGCUCGUGUCGUGAGAUGUUGGGUUAAGUCCCGCAACGAGCGCAACCCUUGAUCUUAGUUGCCAGCAUUUAGUUGGGCACUCUAAGGUGACUGCCGGUGACAAACCGGAGGAAGGUGGGGAUGACGUCAAAUCAUCAUGCCCCUUAUGACCUGGGCUACACACGUGCUACAAUGGAUGGUACAAAGGGCAGCAAAACCGCGAGGUCGAGCCAAUCCCAUAAAACCAUUCUCAGUUCGGAUUGUAGGCUGCAACUCGCCUACAUGAAGCUGGAAUCGCUAGUAAUCGCGGAUCAGCAUGCCGCGGUGAAUACGUUCCCGGGCCUUGUACACACCGCCCGUCACACCACGAGAGUUUGUAACACCCGAAGUCGGUGGGGUAACCCUUCUGGGAGCCAGCCGCCUAAGGUGGGAUAGAUGAUUGGGGUGAAGUCGUAACAAGGUAGGCGUAGCGAG